Non-coding RNA from Nannospalax galili (Upper Galilee mountains blind mole rat), 259 nucleotides. NCBI's taxonomy places the organism in Eukaryota, Metazoa, Chordata, Mammalia, Rodentia, Spalacidae. The record is from Ensembl.
AUUUUGGAGUCAGAGGCAGGUGGAUCUCUGUGAGUUUGAGGCCAGCCUGAUCUACAUAGUGACUUCCAGACCAACUGGGGCUACUAGGGAGACCCUGUCUCAAAACCAAACAAAUUUUAAAAAAGAUCAUACUGUUGCCAUGACGAUAAUGUCUGUGCAGUGGCAUUAUCUAUCUAGCAACAGUAAGAGAAGCUUUGCAGUAAGGAUACCAUUUAGCAGAUGGAGUUGUUUCUGUUGGACACUAAGUACUGCUACAAAA